GAUGAACGCUGGCGGCGUGCCUAAUACAUGCAAGUCGAGCGAACAGAUGAGGAGCUUGCUCCUCUGACGUUAGCGGCGGACGGGUGAGUAACACGUGGAUAACCUACCUAUAAGACUGGGAUAACUUCGGGAAACCGGUGCUAAUACCGGAUAAUAUAUUGAACCGCAUGGUUCAAUAGUGAAAGACGGUUUUGCUGUCACUUAUAGAUGGAUCCGCGCCGCAUUAGCUAGUUGGUAAGGUAACGGCUUACCAAGGCAACGAUGCGUAGCCGACCUGAGAGGGUGAUCGGCCACACUGGAACUGAGACACGGUCCAGACUCCUACGGGAGGCAGCAGUAGGGAAUCUUCCGCAAUGGGCGAAAGCUUGACGGGGCAACGCCGCGUGAGUGAUGAAGGUCUUCGGAUCGUAAAACUCUGUUAUUAGGGAAGAACAAAUGUGUAAGUAACUAUGCACGUCUUGACGGUACCUAAUCAGAAAGCCACGGCUAACUACGUG
This 497-nucleotide ribosomal RNA is filed under the name uncultured bacterium. RNAcentral describes it as "partial 16S ribosomal RNA". It matches the Rfam family "Bacterial small subunit ribosomal RNA", at positions 28 to 507 of the family's 1533-position model. The record is from RNAcentral.